GGGGUUGUGACUCAGUGGGUAGAGUACUUGCCUCUGACUCAUGAGGCACUGGGUUCGAUCCUCAACACCA
This 70-nucleotide transfer RNA is filed under the name Ictidomys tridecemlineatus (thirteen-lined ground squirrel). RNAcentral's name for it is "Spermophilus tridecemlineatus (thirteen-lined ground squirrel) tRNA". It matches the Rfam family "tRNA". From Rfam's summary of the family: Transfer RNA (tRNA) molecules are approximately 80 nucleotides in length. Their secondary structure includes four short double-helical elements and three loops (D, anti-codon, and T loops). Further hydrogen bonds mediate the characteristic L-shaped molecular structure. tRNAs have two regions of fundamental functional importance: the anti-codon, which is responsible for specific mRNA codon recognition, and the 3' end, to which the tRNAs corresponding amino acid is attached (by aminoacyl-tRNA synthetases). tRNAs cope with the degeneracy of the genetic code in two manners: having more than one tRNA (with a specific anti-codon) for a particular amino acid; and 'wobble' base-pairing, i.e. permitting non-standard base-pairing at the 3rd anti-codon position. Lineage: Eukaryota; Metazoa; Chordata; Mammalia; Rodentia; Sciuridae. The record is from Rfam by way of RNAcentral.